GGUAAUUCGAGGAAAGUGCCAACCAGCCGUGGAGGCCAAAUGAAAGGAGCAUGGUGGCACACCGCGAGAGGGGAAACGGGGAGAGACCUACACCAAGCCACAAUAGAGAAGUAAGCUUCACCACUCGUGACUAUGGAGUCUCCAGUCAGCAUCUUGAAGGUGCUCGUCUUUCCUGCUCCGUUGACUCCAAGAAGACCAAAACACUGGAGAGAGAGAGAGAGAGAGGAGAGAAGAGUUUCACUGGACUGAACCAUCAACUGGAUAUGAAAGGGGAGAAUCUAUGGGUCGGGCCAGAAACUUCUCCUGACCAUCUGACCUGACCGGUAAAGCUGGUCUAUUGCAGACUAAUGAUCAGGCGAGGUCAUGUGACCAGGAAAAACUCCCGUCCCUAUCUAUGCUGUACAGUGGUAGCAGAGCCAGCUCACCUCUCCUGGAGGAAUUCCGACACAAAGACGAUCCACUGCUGGUUUCUGUUUUCUAUUGUAC
Molecule: long non-coding RNA, 486 nt
Organism: Oncorhynchus keta (chum salmon)
Lineage: Eukaryota; Metazoa; Chordata; Actinopteri; Salmoniformes; Salmonidae
Exons: 3
Source: RefSeq, a predicted model, not a curated record